CCUCCCAAAGUGCUGGGAUUACAGGCAUGAACCACCGCACCCAGCCUGAGUUUCUUUUUAAAAACAACAGUCUAAGUACACGAUAGUAUAAUCCUGUCUUUUUUGUACACAGAGUAAAGAGGACAAAUAGGAGAAAGGAUAAAUGAAAGGCUGGAAUCCCACUUCCCCUGCUGUCCCAGGGCAUUGGAUAUUGACCGAUAGGAGGAAGCAAACCACUCACAGAGCCAGGAAGAAAUGAAUGCGUUGGUAUUGCCAGGAGAAGAGGCCGACCCGGCUAAAAUACGCUAUGACCAUAGCCAGGAGAUACUGAUGGAGAGAAAGGAACACAAAAAGGGAGAGGUCACAUCUUGGAAGAGGAAGAUUGUGGAGAGGGGGAAUGAGGGUCUGGGGAAGGGCUGCACCUCAGAGAAGGGACCUCAGUGUUGGAGUAGCUGUACUCAUUUGGAAAUGGCGGGGUGGAGGGAUAUUCGAAGGUCGGAUGCAAAUCCGAGAAGCCAGUGGAAGGGUUUUCGGUGAUGCUCCCAGGAUGGUGGACUCCAGAUGGGAUCUUUGGAGGGGGUGUGUCUAGGUGGGCUGGUGUCCGGAGGGUCUUUUGUGUGCCAGGCAGAGAACUGUCCCAAAGAGCAGAAAGUAGAGGGGCCAGGAGCUUCAGGGCUGCGGCCAGACUGUGGCCCAGGGCUCAGAUCCCAGAGGACCCAUAGGAGGGAUGGGCUAUUCAUUCACUUGGCAAGAGACCAGCAGAGUCCUGAGGGAGAUGCUGACAUCAUAAAAAGACCAAGAACAGCUGGGAGUGGCAGCUCAAGCCUGUGAUGCCGGUACUUUGAGAGGUGGAGACAGGAGGAUUAUGUGAGCCCAACAGUUCGAGAACAACCUGGGCAACAUAGAGAGACCCUGUUUCUACAAAGAUUUCAAAAAUUAGUUGAGCAUGGUAGCAUGUGCUAGUCCCAGCUCCUCAGGAGACUGAGGCAAGAGGAUUGCUUGAGCCCAGGAGUUAGAGGCUUCAGUGA
This is an RNA transcript of Rhinopithecus roxellana (golden snub-nosed monkey), 1007 nucleotides long. RefSeq lists it as uncharacterized. Lineage: Eukaryota; Metazoa; Chordata; Mammalia; Primates; Cercopithecidae. The transcript has a single exon. The record is from RefSeq and is a predicted model, not a curated record.